UAUAGUCACAAGAAAUACUCGCUCCUGAUUGGCUGAGGAAAGAUGGCCGUGUUCUAACGUGUGUCACGAGAUAACAUCGUGAGGACCAGGUCGCCGCUGUAAUUAUAACCAUAUGGACAGGGGUCGGGUUGGUCUGGCCGUGUGACGUGGCAGGCAAGACAGGACACGACGCGAGAGAGGAUCGACGUGGAUGUUUACAGAGUAAUGUACUGCGUAGAGUACAGAGGGCUGGGAAACAGAAUGACGUUGAUCAGUUUAACAAGUAUAUGGCUGUCACCCGUAUUUGAACGCGCACGUGACAUUCUGGUAGUACUGCUGGGCUGGAGUUCAACCAAGAUAGAGACGGGAACAGAGUGAUCGAGAGAACUGAGGACGUGGCAAGGCUACUGGGCCUGUGAUGGGUGGCGCGCGGGGCAGGGAGGCAGAAAUAACACAUAAAGAUGCCCGCCGAUCCCUGACCCUGAAGAGAACGCCAGCCCGGAGAAAUCUUACUACUGUAUUGACACUCGGGGAGCGGGGCAAGAUGCGGCGGGUACGGGCGGUGGUAUAAGGCGGGAAAGGGAUCUCAAGACUACUCGUCAGAAGGAAAGUUACAACGCCGUAGGGAUACGUACUUGACGAUUACGUCAGACGAUGGCGGUUCCAGUAGGUCAAUGUUCGAAGCAGCUGCGGGUAAACGUCUUUCGGUAUGUCGUCAAGGCCAACCUACCGGACAAGAGCGACGACGACGAGGUGAUCCUGACAGACAUAUAUUACGUCCAUCAGAACGACACAUUCCCGCCACACCCAACAUAGAGACUCUUACCGGCACAAGGGAAGUAAGUCGAGUCCCUUCACGACUAGUGGCCAUCGCUGAGAGGAGCCAGAAUAUACGUUUGAGCGGCUUGAACAUUCUUAACAGAAGGGAGCCACACAACAUCCAGAACAGCGCCAUCGACAGAAGGAAGGCAACAUGAGGGAAGUAGAGGCCAGUAGCAGAGCCAAGACGUACAGCCGAUAGUUGUGAUCAUACUUGUCCAUGUAUAGAAAACCUGAC
Branchiostoma floridae (Florida lancelet) is the source of this 1036-nucleotide long non-coding RNA. RefSeq lists it as uncharacterized. The record is from RefSeq and is a predicted model, not a curated record. NCBI's taxonomy places the organism in Eukaryota, Metazoa, Chordata, Leptocardii, Amphioxiformes, Branchiostomatidae. The transcript is spliced from 3 exons.